UGGGGAAUAUUGCACAAUGGGCGNAAGCCUGAUGCAGCAACGCCGCGUGAGGGAUGACGGCCUUCGGGUUGUAAACCUCUUUUAGCAGGGAAGAAGCGAAAGUGACGGUACCUGCAGAAAAAGCGCCGGCUAACUACGUG
This 140-nucleotide ribosomal RNA is filed under the name uncultured bacterium. RNAcentral's name for it is "partial 16S ribosomal RNA". It matches the Rfam family "Bacterial small subunit ribosomal RNA", at positions 355 to 507 of the family's 1533-position model. The record is from RNAcentral.